This 437-nucleotide ribosomal RNA is filed under the name uncultured Actinomycetales bacterium. RNAcentral's name for it is "bacterial SSU rRNA". It matches the Rfam family "Bacterial small subunit ribosomal RNA", at positions 342 to 791 of the family's 1533-position model. The record is from RNAcentral. Lineage: Bacteria; Bacillati; Actinomycetota; Actinomycetes; Actinomycetales.
CGGGGGGCAGCAGUGGGGAAUAUUGGGCAAUGGGCGGAAGCCUGACCCAGCGACGCCGCGUGAGGGACGAAGGCCUUCGGGUUGUAAACCUCUUUCAGUAGGGAAGAAGCGAAAGUGACGGUACCUACAGAAGAAGCACCGGCUAACUACGUGCCAGCAGCCGCGGUAAUACGUAGGGUGCAAGCGUUGUCCGGAAUUAUUGGGCGUAAAGAGCUCGUAGGUGGUUUGCCACGUCGGAUGUGAAAACCUGAGGCUUAACCUCAGGCCUGCAUUCGAUACGGGCAGACUAGAGUGUGGUAGGGGAGACUGGAAUUCCUGGUGUAGCGGUGAAAUGCGCAGAUAUCAGGAGGAACACCGAUGGCGAAGGCAGGUCUCUGGGCCAUAACUGACACUGAGGAGCGAAAGCGUGGGGAGCAAACAGGAUUAGAUACCCGAGU